Molecule: unclassified non-coding RNA, 444 nt
Filed under: uncultured Russula
Lineage: Eukaryota; Fungi; Basidiomycota; Agaricomycetes; Russulales; Russulaceae
Description: sequence contains ITS2
Rfam family: 5.8S ribosomal RNA (bases 1-154)
Source: RNAcentral
AACUUUCUGCAACGUAUCUCUUGGCUCUCGCGUCGAUUAAGAACGCAGCGAAAUGCGAUACGUAAUGUGAAUUGCAGAAUUCAGUGAAUCAUCGAAUCUUUGAACGCACCUUGCGCCCCUUGGUAUUCCGAGGGGCACACCCGUUUGAGUGUCGUGAAUACUCUCAACCUUCUUGGUUUCUUUGACCACGAAGGCUUGGACUUUGGAGGUUUUUCUUGCUGGCCUCUUUAGAAGCCAGCUCCUCCUAAAUGAAUGGGUGGGGUCCGCUUUGCUGAUCCUCGACGUGAUAAGCAUUUCUUCUACGUCUCAGUGUCAGCUCGGAACCCGCUUUCCAACCGUCUUUGGACAAAGACAAUGUUCGAGUUGCGACUCGACCUUACAAACCUUGACCUCAAAUCGGGUGAGACUACCCGCUGAACUUAAGCAUAUCAAUAAGCGGAGGCU